RNAcentral lists this ribosomal RNA (617 nucleotides) under uncultured bacterium. Its description in RNAcentral is "bacterial SSU rRNA". It matches the Rfam family "Bacterial small subunit ribosomal RNA", at positions 123 to 725 of the family's 1533-position model. The record is from RNAcentral.
AACCUGCCCAGAAGCGGGGGACAACAUUUGGAAACAGAUGCUAAUACCGCAUAACAACGUUGUUCGCAUGAACAACGCUUAAAAGAUGGCUUCUCGCUAUCACUUCUGGAUGGACCUGCGGUGCAUUAGCUUGUUGGUGGGGUAACGGCCUACCAAGGCGAUGAUGCAUAGCCGAGUUGAGAGACUGAUCGGCCACAAUGGGACUGAGACACGGCCCAUACUCCUACGGGAGGCAGCAGUAGGGAAUCUUCCACAAUGGGCGCAAGCCUGAUGGAGCAACACCGCGUGAGUGAAGAAGGGCUUCGGCUCGUAAAGCUCUGUUGUUAAAGAAGAACACGUAUGAGAGUAACUGUUCAUACGUUGACUCUAUUUAACCAGAAAGUCACGGCUAACUACGUGCCAGCAGCCGCGGUAAUACGUAGGUGGCAAGCGUUAUCCGGAUUUAUUGGGCGUAAAGAGAGUGCAGGCGGUUUUCUAAGUCUGAUGUGAAAGCCUUCGGCUUAACCGGAGAAGUGCAUCGGAAACUGGAUAACUUGAGUGCGGAAGAGGGUAGUGGAACUCCAUGUGUAGCGGUGGAAUGCGUAGAUAUAUGGAAGAACACCAGUGGCGAAGGCGGC